UCCCGCUACCUCCCGUACUCUCAGCCUUAUGGCCCCCUUCGUGGUCUUCCAAUUCGUUGUCUAUGAUACCGUGGAAACCAUGUUGCCUUAGGAACGUCAUCCAUUAUUGAAAUACGUUCUUUUUGCCGUUAGAUUUGUUUUGCUGGAUAUAUGUUGGAACAAAUUGUUGCAUGGAGGUGAAGCUUCAAUUUGGGUCUUGGUUUGUCAACCAUUGGUUGAGAUGGGGAAAGAGCGUGGAUUGGAUCAACAUUAUUUUCCCGCACUCAUCUAAGGAAUGCUGGCACGCUCACAGUUGUAGCGUAACAUUCUUGUCUGUUCAAUUUUAAAAUUUUAUAAUUGUAUUUCAUACAAGCUUCUGGCCUGCAUCAGCCAAUAGGGUCCAGCAAUGGCAUGGUCCCCUCUGACUGUGUAGUGUAACUUACAUCCUUCGUCAAUGAAAAUGUGUUGGAACAAAUUGUUGCAUGGAGCUUAAGCUUCAAUUUGGGACUUGGUCUGUCAAGCGUUGGUUGAGAUGGCAAAAGAGCAUGGAUUGGAUGAAUUCCCGCCCAUUUUUUCCGUUCUAUGACCGAGUUCUUUUUUACAGACAGAGGCUUCUCAUUUCUUCUUCAUACCAGCGAUCAGGCGGAAAAACUAGAUGUCGGUACCCUUGGCAGGUGGGCGGCGCUAACGUCUGCUAACAUAAAAAUUGUCUAUUCCCGGCAUCUAAGGAGUACGAAAGCGUAAGUUCUUCUAAUAGACCAACAUAUCUGGGAGCAAGGAUCUGCUUAGGGACAGUGAGACAUCAGCGAAUACAACAACGGAACCAUAUCCAAAUUGUAGCACAAAACUUGUACAGCUGUGAUACCUCCCAAACACCUAUGCAGUUUGGAAUGCUUGUCAGGCGAAUGCAGAUUAAUGUAAAAGAUGUCAAAUGUUAGACAUGUGGAAAAGGCCUGAUAGGAUGUGUGGGCGCCUUUGGUAACAUAGAUUGGAACAUAUGAUUUUUCAUGUUGGCUACACCAAGGCAGUAAUAACUGUGCUGCAAACAAUCUGCAAAACAUGCUUGUCUGUCCAUCUCAGUGAUGAGAUGGCAAAUUGGUUGAGUAAAUCUGACUAAGAAAGCAAAUCUGAGAAGUGUCCUAAAAGUAACUUGUCCCAGUGUGAUUUUCGUAGCAAUCCAUCAUUUGUUCCAAAGAUUUUUUUAUGAAGCUACAACAUAGAAGGUCUUGAACCAGUAAGCAUCAUACGGGGAGCUCCUAUGUAUGAAAGGAACUUUCUUCAGUAUUGAUACUGAGAUAAAUGACUUUGUUCUCAUCAACUUUCAGUUUAAAGAAACCAUUAACUCCUCAAAGACCACAAGUACACCUGUUACCACCACCCGGUUCCAAAUCGAUGAUUGCUUGGAUUCUAGAAAAAACAAUGCUCGUGACUCGGUGUCGCCAACGUGAUACAAAGUUAUUCAACUCUUUACAUCAAACCUGUUGAGAAGGAUGCCACAGGCUGGACUCUAUUACUCCAAUUGAAAAUGAAUGGACACAGGUAACAAGUUUAGAGAGACUUUUAUCAGAUCACCUUGCAACCUCUUACUUUCAUUUGAAAGUAAUUCAAGUAGGUCGUCCUAAUGCAAUAAUAAUUUCCGAUUUAAUUUUUUGAUUAGUUCAUUUAUAGCACUCAUGCAAGAUGCAACCACCAUUUAGACAUCUUAAAAACGUAUUUUAGGAUAUGCAAACUAUGGCACUAAGUUAAUUUUUAUAUAAUACUUCGCAUGUUUGUCGCAUGUGAAAAAGAAUAAAAAUGGAAUGUGAUGCCUAGGUAGCAUAAUGAGGUCAGAAGAUUGCCCAACAUCUAUGGAAAAAUGACUUGAUUGAUGAACCAGCUAUAUUUAGCAGGUUGGCUUUAUUGUAGAACUGUUAAACAUUUGAUAUUCAUAAUGUUCGCAAGGCUUUUAAGAAAAUAGUUUUCAUUGCACUGGCGACAAUUCGGAAUGGCGAGGUGCGAAUGAAUCGGAUUAAAAGUCAGCGUGGAAAUGCAAUAGUUCCGCAGCUGGCAAGAAAUGAGAGGGCGAUUGGUGAUGAGACAAUUUAUUCUAAUCGCUGUAACUCAUGGACACGUCGACAUUCGUGGUAAUCAAACUUAGAACGUCUGCAAUGCGAAAUUUUUCACCAAUAUAAAGGAAAGCUGCAAACAUAUUUUCAGCAUUUUUAAUAAAAAAAUAAGCGCGUUCAUUCCCUUCAACCAAUUGUCAACGCGAGGCCCCGUAGGAACCUUCCAUACGUCACUUUUAUUGUAGCUGACAGUGACUGUAAUUAUGGCUUACUUAGCCCAUGCUUAUCCAGAGCUGCCUUGUUGAUCCCCGCCCUAAAAACUAUCAUCUUCAAAAGCUUCCAGGUUUGUUGUGGUCGUAGAACAGCAGACGACGAAGUUCAAAGCGGCAUUGUACCAUCGGGCAGAAUCCAAACGGUUGAUGCAUUGAAAAUGUCGGAGCUCUGUUGAUGAAUUUUCACCAGCACUCUUCCACAAGACGCGCGCGAAGCAAACGAUAGCAAAGGAGAUGUGGACUUGAAUUGGUUGUUUACCACCCGUGGCUUUCCCGCAUCCCAGGAUUAGUCUUGUACACCUUUUGCACUUGUACAGAGCGUUCGGGAACGAAAUUAGUUGUGGAUGGGUUUGUUGUUGACAAGCAAGGGAAGGAUUUUUACCAAACUAGAUAGGAAUGAAAUUUGUUGUAGCUGGUUUGGUUGUUGACAAGCAAGGGAAGGAUUUUUUUACCAAAGUAGACAGGAUAUUUAUUCUUAAUCCCACAAUGUCUUGACUACAAAUCAUGCUGAAUUAGAAUAGUAUGUUGAUCGAGGCUGGGUGCCAAAGCAAUGGAUGAUAAUUGUAAGCGCGAUUGGAAAUAUCCAUGAUUUAUUAACGUUCUCUCAUGUUACGGUAUUUUAUUAAAGACAAAUUGAAGUGUA
Molecule: long non-coding RNA, 2939 nt
Filed under: Daphnia magna
Lineage: Eukaryota; Metazoa; Arthropoda; Branchiopoda; Diplostraca; Daphniidae
Description: uncharacterized LOC116925772, transcript variant X20
Source: RNAcentral